CCCUUAGAUGUUCUGGGCCGCACGCGCGCUACACUGAUGCAUUCAACGAGCCUAUCCUUGACCGACAGGUCCGGGUAAUCUUUGAAUCUGCAUCGUGACGGGGAUAGAUUAUUGCAAUUAUUAAUCUUCAACGAGGAAUGCCUAGUAGGCGCAAGUCAUCAGCUUGCGUCGAUUACGUCCCUGCCCUUUGUACACACCGCCCGUCGCUCCUACCGAUUGAAUGAUCCGAUGAAUAUCAUGGAUUGAGGAUGCAAGUAGGUUCGCCUAUCUUCAUCUUCGAGAAGUGAAGUAAAUCUUAUCAUUUAGAGGAAGGAGAAGUCGUAACA
Molecule: ribosomal RNA, 326 nt
Filed under: uncultured eukaryote
Lineage: Eukaryota
Description: partial 18S ribosomal RNA
Rfam family: Eukaryotic small subunit ribosomal RNA
Source: RNAcentral